RNAcentral lists this ribosomal RNA (253 nucleotides) under uncultured bacterium. RNAcentral describes it as "partial 16S ribosomal RNA". It matches the Rfam family "Bacterial small subunit ribosomal RNA", at positions 524 to 776 of the family's 1533-position model. The record is from RNAcentral.
UACGUAGGGGGCAAGCGUUAUCCGGAUUUACUGGAUGUAAAGGGAGCGUAGACGGUUAUGCAAGUCUGAAGUGAAAGCCCAAGGCUCAACCAUGGGACUGCUUUGGAAACUGUAAAACUGGAGUGCAGGAGAGGUAAGCGGAAUUCCUAGUGUAGCGGUGAAAUGCGUAGAUAUUAGGAGGAACACCAGUGGCGAAGGCGGCUUACUGGACUGUAACUGACGUUGAGGCUCGAAGGCGUGGGGAGCAAACAGG